RNAcentral lists this ribosomal RNA (274 nucleotides) under uncultured bacterium. RNAcentral describes it as "partial 16S ribosomal RNA". It matches the Rfam family "Bacterial small subunit ribosomal RNA", at positions 523 to 796 of the family's 1533-position model. The record is from RNAcentral.
AUACGGAGGGUGCGAGCGUUGUUCGGAUUUAUUGGGCGUAAAGGGCGUGUAGGCGGUCAGAUAAGUCUGGUGUGAAAGCCCUUGGCUUAACCAAGGAAUGUCGCUGGAAACUGUCUGACUUGAGUACGUGAGAGGAGAGUGGAAUUCCCGGUGUAGAGGUGAAAUUCGUAGCUAUCGGGAGGAACACCGGUGGCGAAGGCGGCUCUCUGGCUCGAUACUGACGCUGAGACGCGAAAGCGUGGGGAGCAAACAGGAUUAGAUACCCAAGUAGUCC